Long non-coding RNA from Ahaetulla prasina, 1121 nucleotides. RefSeq lists it as uncharacterized. Lineage: Eukaryota; Metazoa; Chordata; Lepidosauria; Squamata; Colubridae. The record is from RefSeq and is a predicted model, not a curated record. The transcript has 3 exons.
CGAGCCGAGCCGAGCCGAGCUAAGCAGCCUCUGGGCCCAAAUGCACUGGCAUGAAAACUCUCAGCCAAGGGGCAGCAGGACACGGCCGUGUGGCCCUCACCAUCUCUGAUGUGCUCAGCUGAACAGUGAGGGCCCACAGAGGUCUAGAGAGGCUCAGACACCAAAGGCAGCUGCUCUACCCUGGAGUGCCAGCCAGCUGCUUACCUGGAACUUUGUCCCUGUUCUUCACCAGCCACAGGAAGAGGGGCCGGAUGCCACAGGAGCAGGUCCAGGGGUUGUCUUCAAGGGUCAGAACUUAUGAAGAGCAAUGCCAAUGGCCCCCAGACUACCUUCCAGUGCGAUUCUGCUCCGCCCAUCUCAACCGGUCCUAAAAUCAGAGGAAAACCCAUCGUUUUUCUUCGGCAGCCUCCGGGAAGUGGAAACCCCUUUAAGUGGAUACAUUGGAUACAUUUCCACCAUCGAUCAAGGGCUCUCUCACUUGAGAGCUGCCCAAUUAUUUGGUGACGGAGUCCAUCUGGAACACCCGUGUAGGAAAAGGAGAAACAACGUUUGAAUAGGACUGGAAACUCCCCAUCCUACCCCACCGUGCCACAUGGGACGUGGGGUCCUGCCAGGGAGCUGGGCCCUUCCCGAGGGAGGGCACCUCUGGGCAUCCUCCUCCGCCCCAUGGGUCGGGCAGCCAGAGCAUCACCUCUCCUCCCCGAGACCUCUCAAGAGACCCUCUGGGCCCUACCUGGCCCUGCUAACUUGAGGCAGGCUUCUCUAGGCCUCAACGGGCCUCACCCAGGCAGGAACUGGAGCAAGAAGAGGAUAAGUGAUGCAGCCCUAGACACCUGCGCCUCCGAGGCCUCCGAGGGCCAGAACAACAAGUGACUGAAGCCUCUUGCGACAGACGUGCAGUUGCUGGUACUGUAUCUACCAAGAGGAGGCCAACUUCACAAGAUAGAGUUACUGGUGUCCUGGCCAACAAUAGCCACAGAAACACAAUUAUAGGCUCCUUCCUUGCCUGCCUCCUCCAACUCCUCUGCCCAGCACUGCCCUGGAUGUUAGUCAUGAAACCACCUUUUGCACAAACGCCUGAAGUGCUCACCUCCCACCCACAGGAGAAACAACCCAUAGGA